Molecule: non-coding RNA, 1585 nt
Filed under: Pongo abelii (Sumatran orangutan)
Lineage: Eukaryota; Metazoa; Chordata; Mammalia; Primates; Hominidae
Source: RNAcentral
CUCUUUCCUUACUUCCUUCCCUUCCCUCGGCUUCCCGCUCUCCCCUCACUCUCAGCGGCUGUCUUCGCCCCCGUGUGCAGACAGCGCCGCUGGAUGCUCCCAGCUGGACUUCAACCCCAUUUCUCUCAGUCUCUCUCCCCACUGCCUUCCAGACGCGCCUCUUCCCCGCCCAGCGCCCCUCUCUCCUCUCCCACCCCUGCCCCUCUCCGCGGCGCCCACCCUCCUCAGUCCCAGUUUCUGAAAGGACUCAGCUGAGAAAGGACAACUGGGUUCCGCUUUCCUUAACCCUACACCCUUUAGCUGGAUGCUGUCAGAGGUGAUGGAGAAACGCAAAGGCUACUAGACACAUCAAUAGAAUUACCAUAUUGGUUUUCCUGGUUUGAAAGGACCAGAUGGAAAGAAACUGGGCAAGCCAAUGAAAGUCUCUGGGGAUCAUGGGAAUUGAGUGUCUAUGAAAACCAUAUUCCAGACAAGAAUAUAGUCUUAGGACACAGCAAGAGGCAACAUUUUGGAAGCAGAGGGCAACUCUCACUGGAAACCAAAUCUACUGGCACCUUGAUCUUGGACUUUACAGCCUCCAGAACUGUUAUCUGGGAGGCAUUAUAGUCAUCUGCGAGGUCAAAACUGAGUCACCACCACAACCAAGUUCCAGCUGGCAAGAAGAGGAAAAAUAACAUGGAGGAGUUAUGACCAAUGUUGUAAGGAUAUGGCCUAGAAAUGGCAUGCAUCUCUUCCAUUAAUAUCCUAUUGGUAAAAAUGUAGUCACAUGGACACACCACCUAUCUGCACGGAAGGCUGGGAAAUGUUGAUCGGUUGGGCAGCCAUAUGUGUAGGAAGGAGAAAACAGAAUUUGGUGGAUACCUAGUAGUCUCUGCCAUACCCUUGACCAGAAAUUUUUCUUCUAAAGAAUUUAAUUCUAAAAAUUGUAGACAUUCCCAAAGAUUUACCUGCAAGCAUCAGAGCUUUGUGUAUAAUUGCAAAAGUUGAAAUCACAUGAAUGUCCAAAAUAGUGAAUUAUUUAAAUAGAUUAUUACUCAUAUUAUGAAGAAAUACUCUGCAACUCUUAAAAAUAAAUGUAAUAUGCCACGUGCAAUGGGAUAUGCCUGCAGGCCCGGCUACACGGGAGGCCAAGGCAGGAGGAUCACUUGAACUCAGGAGUUCAAGUCUAGCCUAGACAACAUAGUGAGACUUGGUCUCUAAAAAAGAAAAAAAAAUAAAACUGAUGUAGUGAAUAUAUAAUUACAACAAAAGAGGUCUAACACUACAGUAGAAAAGUUUGGGGCACUCAUCCCAUUCAUAAUUAUUUUACAUUUAAAUUACUGUUCCUACUUAAGUGGUGAGCUUGGUAACCAUUUUUAUAUCAGGUGAUACUGCUGCAGUAAUCAUAGCUGUUUGAAUCAGGAAUAAUCCCAAUCACAUUUUCUCUUAAUAGUUUAUUAUACUGGGCGUUGGGGUUGCAAGAUAAUGCACAGUCCGAGCUGAAUACAUGUCUUCACGUACCUGUAUGUAAAUCCCACUUUUAUUCUAAAAUUCUUUGAAUAUUUUGUUUCUUGCAACCCAAUGAUCCUAAGAAAAUUACUUUUAC